CCAAUAGCGUAUAUUAAAGUUGUUGCAGUUAAAAAGCUCGUAGUUGAAUUUCGGGAUUAGUACGUUGGUCAUGCCUUGGUAUGUACUGGUGUAACUGAUUCCUCCCUUCUGACGAACCGUCAUGCCAUUCACUUGGUGUGGCGGGAAAUCAGGACUGUUACUUUGAAAAAAUUAGAGUGUUUAAAGCAGGCUCGCGCUUGAAUACAUUAGCAUGGAAUAAUGAAAUAGGACGUUAAUCCUAUUUUGUUGGUUUCUAGGAUCGACGUAAUGAUUAAUAGGGAUAGUUGGGGGCAUUAGUAUUCAAUUGUCAGAGGUGAAAUUCUUGGAUUUAUUGAAGACUAACUACUGCGAAAGCAUUUGCCAAGGAUGUUUUCAUUAAUCAAGAACGAAAGUUAGGGGAUCGAAGACGAUCAGAUACCGUCGUAGUCUUAACCAUAAACUAUGCCGACUAGGGAUCGGAUGAUGUUAAUUUUUUAAUGACUCAUUCGGCGCCUUACG
This 498-nucleotide ribosomal RNA is filed under the name uncultured Glomeromycotina. Its description in RNAcentral is "partial small subunit ribosomal RNA". It matches the Rfam family "Eukaryotic small subunit ribosomal RNA", at positions 591 to 1092 of the family's 1831-position model. Lineage: Eukaryota; Fungi; Glomeromycota. The record is from RNAcentral.